This 459-nucleotide ribosomal RNA is filed under the name uncultured bacterium. Its description in RNAcentral is "partial 16S ribosomal RNA". It matches the Rfam family "Bacterial small subunit ribosomal RNA", at positions 338 to 795 of the family's 1533-position model. The record is from RNAcentral.
CCUACGGGCGGCAGCAGUGAGGAAUAUUGGUCAAUGGCCGGAAGGCUGAACCAGCCAAGCCGCGUGAAGGACGAAGGUGCCAAGCAUUGUAAACUUCUUUUGUCAAGGGACAAAAUCAGGCUCGAGAGCCUGACCGAGGGUACUUGAAGAAAAAGCAUCGGCUAACUCCGUGCCAGCGGCCGCGGUAAUACGGAGGAUGCGAGCGUUAUCCGGAUUUAUUGGGGUUAACGGGUGCGUGGGCGGGCUGUUAAGUCAGCGGUAAAAGCCCGGGGCUCAACUCCGGCGAGCCUUUGAAACUGGCUGUCUUGAGAUGGCGAGAGGUAUGCGGAAUGCGCAGUGUAGGGGUGAAAUGCUUAGAGAUUGCGCAGAACUCUGAUUGCGAAGGCAGCAUACCGGCGGCGAUCUGACGCUGAGGCACGAAAGCGUGGGUAUCGAACAGGAUUAGAUACCCUGGUAGUC